This is a non-coding RNA of Macaca mulatta (Rhesus monkey), 708 nucleotides long. Lineage: Eukaryota; Metazoa; Chordata; Mammalia; Primates; Cercopithecidae. The record is from RefSeq and is a predicted model, not a curated record.
CCAGGCUGGUCUUGAUUUCCUGGGCUCAAGUGAUGCACCCACCUCAGCCUCCCAAAGUGCUGGGAUUACAGUCAUGAACCACUGCACCUGCCCCAUAGAUACAUUUUAAGGACCUUUUUUGUGUAAGGAUCUGUGGUGGGUGCUAUGGUGGAUACAAAAAUGAACAAAAUGGUCUCUGCCCUCAAGGGGCUGACAAGAUGCAUGGAUGCAAACGGCUGUAGCCAGAAGCAGGACGCAGUCGAGACCCGAUGAUGAUCAAGGAUGAUGAUUGUUGAUUGAGAGAGACCACACGCCGGAGGAACCCAGAGGGCUAGACAUAGCAUGGGCCUGCAGUUGGUAUGCCGGGUGUUUGAAGAACUUCAGCGCACUGGAAAUCAGGAGCUGAGGAGUGAAGAUGAAUUAAGAAGUGGUUGCUCUGGUCUCCGUCAAGAGGAAGGUGUGGAUUAGGAGGGUGGUGAUGGGUUCAGAGGAAAGAGGAGAGAUGCUGGAGGCAGGUGGAUAGGACCCAAUUGAAAUGGGGUGAUGUGGGGGAAGAAAUUAAAGAAGACCCAGAGAUUUUGAUCCUCCUAAGAUAAGGGUGAUGUUAAGAAAGGUAUUGAUUAUGAAAGAGGACUGGAUUUUGUGUUAGCAGUUGGGGAGGGACCGGGGAAGUUUGGAGUCUCAGAUGAAAAUAUAUACACUAUUCAUGUAAUAAACAUUUACAGAGUU